This 426-nucleotide ribosomal RNA is filed under the name uncultured soil bacterium. RNAcentral describes it as "bacterial SSU rRNA". It matches the Rfam family "Bacterial small subunit ribosomal RNA", at positions 26 to 453 of the family's 1533-position model. The record is from RNAcentral.
AGAUUGAACGCUGGCGGCAUGCCUUACACAUGCAAGUCGAACGGCAGCACGGGGGCAACCCUGGUGGCGAGUGGCGAACGGGUGAGUAAUGCGUCGGAACGUGCCCAGUAGUGAGGGAUAACUAGUCGAAAGAUUAGCUAAUACCGCAUACGACCUAUGGGUGAAAGCGGGGGAUUCGCAAGAACCUCGCGCUAUCGGAGCGGCCGAUGUCUGAUUAGCUAGUUGGCGGGGUAAAAGCCCACCAAGGCUUCGAUCAGUAGCUGGUCUGAGAGGACGACCAGCCACACUGGGACUGAGACACGGCCCAGACUCCUACGGGAGCAGCAGUGGGGAAUUUUGGACAAUGGGCGCAAGCCUGAUCCAGCCAUGCCGCGUGUGUGAAGAAGGUCUUCGGAUUGUAAAGCACUUUAAGUUGGGAGGAAGGGC